UGGGGAAUAUUGGACAAUGGGCGCAAGCCUGAUCCAGCAAUGCCGCGUGUGUGAAGAAGGCCUUCGGGUUGUAAAGCACUUUUAUCAGGAGCGAAACGCUGUCGGCUAAUACCCGGCGGAACUGACGGUACCUGAGGAAUAAGCACCGGCUAACUUCGUGCCAGCAGCCGCGGUAAUACGAAGGGUGCAAGCGUUAAUCGGAAUUACUGGGCGUAAAGCGUGCGUAGGCGGUUUCUUAAGUCUGCUGUGAAAUCCCCGGGCUCAACCUGGGAACUGGCAGUGGAUACUGGGAGGCUAGAGUGUGUCAGAGGGUGGUGGAAUUCCCGGUGUAGCGGUGAAAUGCGUAGAGAUCGGGAGGAACAUCAGUGGCGAAGGCGGCCACCUGGGACAACACUGACGCUGAGGCACGAAAAGCGUGGGGAGCAAACAGGAUUAGAUACCCUGGUAGUCCACGCCCUAAAAGCGAUGCGAACUGGAUGUUGGUCUCAACUCGGAGAUCAGUGUCGAAGCUAACGCGUUAAGUUCGCCGCCUGGGG
Molecule: ribosomal RNA, 536 nt
Filed under: uncultured bacterium
Lineage: Bacteria
Description: partial 16S ribosomal RNA
Rfam family: Bacterial small subunit ribosomal RNA
Source: RNAcentral